GAUGAAGAACGCAGCGAAAUGCGAUAAGUAAUGUGAAUUGCAGAAUUCAGUGAAUCAUCGAAUCUUUGAACGCACCUUGCGCCCUUUGGCUAUUCCGAAGGGCAUGCCUGUUUGAGUAUCAUGAACACCUCAACUCUCAUGGUUUGCCAUGAUGAGCUUGGACUUUGGGGGUCUCGCCGGCCUAUGGGUCGGCUCCUCUCAAAUUAAUCAGCUUGCCAGUGUUUGGUGGCAUCACAGGUGUGAUAACUAUCUACGCUUGUGGUUUUCCAUCAGGUAACCUUCAGUGAUGGAGGUUCGCUGGGGCUCAUAAAUGUCUCUCCUCAGUGAGGACAGCUUUUUUGAACGUUUGAUCUCAAAUCAGGUAGGACUACCCGCUGAACUUAAGCAUAUCAAUAAGCGGAGGA
Molecule: unclassified non-coding RNA, 404 nt
Filed under: soil metagenome
Description: partial contains 5.8S ribosomal RNA, internal transcribed spacer 2, and large subunit ribosomal RNA
Rfam family: 5.8S ribosomal RNA (bases 1-121)
Source: RNAcentral